RNAcentral lists this non-coding RNA (125 nucleotides) under Candidatus Fimivicinus intestinavium. Its description in RNAcentral is "FMN riboswitch (RFN element)". It matches the Rfam family "FMN riboswitch aptamer (RFN element)". Rfam says of the family: The RFN element is a highly conserved domain that is found frequently in the 5'-untranslated regions of prokaryotic mRNAs that encode for flavin mononucleotide (FMN) biosynthesis and transport proteins. This element is a metabolite-dependent riboswitch that directly binds FMN in the absence of proteins. In Bacillus subtilis, the riboswitch most likely controls gene expression by causing premature transcription termination within the 5' untranslated region of the ribDEAHT operon and precluding access to the ribosome-binding site of ypaA mRNA. The record is from RNAcentral. Lineage: Bacteria; Bacillati; Bacillota; Clostridia; Eubacteriales; Oscillospiraceae.
UGUCUUCGGGGCGGGGUGCAAUUCCCCACCGGCGGUAAUGGGGCGUUUGCCCUGAGCCCGCGAGCCUGAGAGGGCCGAUUCCGGUGCGAUCCCGGAGCCGACGGUUACAGUCCGGAUGGAAGAAG